AGAGUUUGAUUCUGGCUCAGAUUGAACGCUGGCGGCGUGCCUAACACAUGCAAGUCGAGCGGAGGAAAGGAGCUUGCUCUUUUCCUUAGCGGCGCACGGGUGAGUAACACGUGGAUGAUCUACCCAUCAGUAGGGAACAACAGUUGGAAACGACUGCUGAUACCGUAUACGAUCUAUUUCAACGUUAGAUGAAAGGCGGCCUCUGCUUGCAAGCUGUCGCUGAUGGAUGAGUCCGCGGCUCAUUAGGUAGUUGGUGGGGUAACGGCCUACCAAGCCUGUGAUGAGUAGCCGGCCUGAGAGGGUGAACGGCCACACUGGGACUGGAACACGGCCCAGACUCCUACGGGAGGCAGCAGUGGGGGGGCGAAAGCCUGACGCAGCGACGCCGCGUGAGGGAUGAAGGCCUUCGGGUCGUAAACCUCUGUCAGGAGGGAAGAAAUGGUGAGGUGCCAAUCAGCCUCAUCUUGACGGUACCUCCAAAGGAAGCACCGGCUAACUCCGUGCCAGCAGCCGCGGUAAUACGGAGGGUGCAAGCGUUAAUCGGAAUCACUGGGCGUAAAGCGCGUAAAGCGCGCGUAGGCGGCGCGAUAAGUCAGGGGUGAAAUCCCACGGCUCAACCGUGGAAUUGCCCUUGAUACUGUCGCGCUCGAGUGUGUGAGAGGAUAGUGGAAUUCCCGGUGUAGGAGUGAAAUCCGUAGAGAUCGGGAGGAACAUCAGUGGCGAAGGCGACUGUCUGGCACAAUACUGACGCUGAGGUGCGAAAGCGUGGGUAGCAAACAGGAUUAGAUACCCUGGUAGUCCACGCUGUAAACGAUGGAUACUGGGUGCCGGGGGCAUGACCCUCGGUGCCGUAGCUAACGCGUUAAGUAUCCCGCCUGGGGAGUACGGUCGCAAGGCUGAAACUCAAAGAAAUUGACGGGGGCCCGCACAAGCGGUGGAGUAUGU
RNAcentral lists this ribosomal RNA (945 nucleotides) under termite gut metagenome. RNAcentral describes it as "bacterial SSU rRNA". It matches the Rfam family "Bacterial small subunit ribosomal RNA", at positions 8 to 942 of the family's 1533-position model. The record is from RNAcentral.